UUGGUGGUAAAAAACUAUUGAAAGUUUGAUAUACUUUAAGUUUUUAUCUUCUCUGUUUACAACACACCCGACAGGAAACUGGGGUCAUUGUGACAAAGGACAGAACAAAACUUGUGGCCUCCUGUAAACAAAUGCUCUACAUGU
Molecule: small nucleolar RNA, 144 nt
Organism: Otolemur garnettii (small-eared galago)
Lineage: Eukaryota; Metazoa; Chordata; Mammalia; Primates; Galagidae
Source: Ensembl